RNAcentral lists this ribosomal RNA (253 nucleotides) under uncultured bacterium. RNAcentral describes it as "partial 16S ribosomal RNA". It matches the Rfam family "Bacterial small subunit ribosomal RNA", at positions 524 to 776 of the family's 1533-position model. The record is from RNAcentral.
UACGUAUGUCGCAAGCGUUAUCCGGAAUUAUUGGGCAUAAAGGGCAUCUAGGCGGCCCUGUAAGUCUAGGGUGAAAACCUGCGGCUCAACCGCAGGCUUGCCCCGGAAACUACAGGGCUAGAGUAUCGGAGAGGUGGACGGAACUGCACGAGUAGAGGUGAAAUUCGUAGAUAUGUGCAGGAAUGCCGAUGAUGAAGAUAGUUCACUGGACGGCAACUGACGCUGAAGUGCGAAAGCUAGGGGAGCAAACAGG